CCAGACACUCACACUCUGUUCAGACAACAACAGACAAACGGAGUCUCAGGAUCUCAAACUUGCAAAGGCCCUGUACAACCUAUCUUUCUGAGGAGCUCAAAUGUCUCUUCCUGAAUCGUCCACUUAUUAAUCCUGGCUCCGGGCUCCAAGACUUUGUUUCCUCAUCUGAAAACCUGCUUCUUCUCAGGGCGUUCUGGGGGGUAAGUGAAGGAGCACAUGGAGAACAUUAGUUGGACUCGACAUGCCCUUGGCAGCCCUCAGAUGUUGACUCACUUUACGCUCUUCAGUUUUCAUCCCGGGGCCCGACAGCAUGCGUGCUACUCUCCCUGGGCCCUGUAAGAGGUCCGACAAAAGGGAUCUUGUUCUGAGGAAAGAUCUAUUUGGCCUGAAUUUAUACCUUAUUCCAGAAUGUUUCCAAGGGCUUCUGAGCAGAUGGUGAACCAGGGGAAUGCAGGGCAGCCCGUCACCUUCUCUCCAUCCCAGCCACUGGGAAGGAACAGCACAGAGAGAGGUUUGAAGGCCUUGCCACUGUGGUUGCCUAAAGUCCAGCCAAUACCUGGACUGGGACUUGAAUUCCUGUCAUAUGAACAAGGCUCCUGACCCAAGAAGGGCUAUGGACAGGAAAGUUCUCUUUGGGGUGUCCAUGCGGCAGGUACUGGACAGCUCAAGCUGAACAUGGCAUAGCCAGAUCACUGAGUUUAAUUUUCCAGCUGAACAAACUGGGACCCAACCACUGCGACUUCCACUCUGCUUUGGAGUUGAUAAAAUGUUGCUGCAAAGUAACAGAGAAGAAGGUCAUUGCUGUCCAGUCCCACCAAGUUCCGGGGCUGGGCCCUUUCCAUUGUAGCUGCCCUCUGGGUGUCAGGGGUGGCAGCCUCUGUCUCAGGGGACUUGUGAGAGUUGGAAGAGAUGAUCCAUGGAUGGACCAGUCUGGAUGGGGAGCUGUGAAGCUUCAGCUUUGGAGGGAAUCACUUCUGCGUGCAGCAUGUGGACAGCUGCAGCGGGAUGACCCCAGUCCACAGCAGUGGAAGGAACCGCUCACUUGGCUCUCAACACGGGCCCCUCAGAAGGUGACCAUCCAGUCAGUGGCCCUCUGGUGCUGGAUGGAAGGCUCUUUCAAUGCUGACCCUUCUUUAUUUAUGGUCCCCCAGGCCCCAGCCUCCCACCUUCCCUCAGUCCAGGUGCCAGUACUCAUCCUUUCUCCCAGGCCCAGGCCUAGCUCUUUUCUC
RNAcentral lists this long non-coding RNA (1229 nucleotides) under Equus caballus (horse). Its description in RNAcentral is "lncRNA (ENSECAG00000056429.1)". The record is from RNAcentral. Lineage: Eukaryota; Metazoa; Chordata; Mammalia; Perissodactyla; Equidae.